CCUACGGGAGGCUGCAGUGGGGAAUAUUGGACAAUGGGGGCAACCCUGAUCCAGCCAUGCCGCGUGUGUGAAGAAGGCCCUCGGGUUGUAAAGCACUUUCAGUGAGGAAGAACGCCUGGUGGUUAAUACCCAUCAGGAAAGACAUCACUCACAGAAGAAGCACCGGCUAACUCCGUGCCAGCAGCCGCGGUAAUACGGAGGGUGCGAGCGUUAAUCGGAAUUACUGGGCGUAAAGCGCGCGUAGGUGGCUUGAUAAGCCGGUUGUGAAAGCCCCGGGCUCAACCUGGGAACGGCAUCCGGAACUGUCAAGCUAGAGGGCAGGAGAGGAAGGUAGAAUUCCCGGUGUAGCGGUGAAAUGCGUAGAGAUCGGGAGGAAUACCAGUGGCGAAGGCGGCCUUCUGGACUGACACUGACACUGAGGUGCGAAAGCGUGGGUAGCAAACAGGAUUAGAUACCCUUGUAGUC
This 465-nucleotide ribosomal RNA is filed under the name Vreelandella stevensii. Its description in RNAcentral is "partial 16S ribosomal RNA". It matches the Rfam family "Bacterial small subunit ribosomal RNA", at positions 338 to 795 of the family's 1533-position model. Lineage: Bacteria; Pseudomonadati; Pseudomonadota; Gammaproteobacteria; Oceanospirillales; Halomonadaceae. The record is from RNAcentral.